GCUUAGAGAGGGGUCAAUGUCCUAUCAGCUAGUUGGUAGGGUAAUGGCCUACCAAGGCUAAGACGGGCAGCCGGCCUGAGAGGGUGGUCGGCCACACUGGGACUGAGACACUGCCCAGACUCCUACGGGAGGCUGCAGUCGAGAAUCUUUCGCAAUGCCCGAAAGGGUGACGAAGCGACGCCGCGUGUGGGAAGAAGGCCUUCGGGUUGUAAACCACUGCCGGGAGUUAAGAAAUGCAAGGGUGUUAAUAGCAUCCUUGCUUGACUAAGGCUCCGGAGGAAGCCACGGCUAACUCUGUGCCAGCAGCCGCGGUAAUACAGAGGCGGCAAGCGUUGUUCGGAAUUAUAGGGCGUAAAGAGCACGUAGGCGGUUUUGUAAGUCAGUUGUGAAAGCCUUCUGCUCAACGGAAGAACAGCAUCUGAUACUGCAAGGCUAGAGUGCGGAAGGG
Molecule: ribosomal RNA, 448 nt
Filed under: uncultured Planctomycetota bacterium
Lineage: Bacteria; Pseudomonadati; Planctomycetota
Description: bacterial SSU rRNA
Rfam family: Bacterial small subunit ribosomal RNA
Source: RNAcentral